GACGAACGCUGGCGGCGUGCCUAAUACAUGCAAGUCGAGCGAAUGACGAGAAGCUUGCUUCUCUGAUUUAGCGGCGGACGGGUGAGUAACACGUGGGCAACCUGCCCUACAGAUCGGGAUAACUCAGGGAAACCUGGGCUAAUACCGGAUAAUCCUUCGAAUCACAUGUUUUGAAGUUGAAAGGCGCUUCGGCGUCACUGUAGGAUGGGCCCGCGGUGCAUUAGCUAGUUGGUGGGGUAGCGGCCCACCAAGGCGACGAUGCAUAGCCGACCUGAGAGGGUGAUCGGCCACACUGGGACUGAGACACGGCCCAGACUCCUACGGGAGGCAGCAGUAGGGAAUCUUCCACAAUGGACGAAAGUCUGAUAGAGCAACGCCACGUGAGUGAUGAAGGUUUUCGGAUCGUAAAACUCUGUUGUAAGGGAAGAACACGUACGAGAGGAAAUGCUCGUACCUUGACGGUACCUUACGAGAAAGCCACGGCUAACUACGUGCCAGCAGCCGCCGUAA
This 510-nucleotide ribosomal RNA is filed under the name uncultured bacterium. RNAcentral describes it as "partial 16S ribosomal RNA". It matches the Rfam family "Bacterial small subunit ribosomal RNA", at positions 28 to 523 of the family's 1533-position model. The record is from RNAcentral.